CAUUAUCACGCGUUACUCACCCGUCCGAAGGGCGAAUUCGCGGCCGCUAAAUUCAAUUCGCCCUAUAGUGAGUCGUAUUAAGAAAACGGUGGCUAAUACCGCAUGUGGCCUGAGGGUCAAAGCAGCAAUGCGCUCUGGGAGGGGCCCGCGUCCGAUUAGCUAGUUGGUGGGGUGACGGCCUACCAAGGCGACGAUCGGUAGCUGGUCUGAGAGGAUGAUCAGCCACACUGGGACUGAGACACGGCCCAGACUCCUACGGGAGGCAGCAGUGGGGAAUAUUGGACAAUGGGCGCAAGCCUGACCCAGCAAUGCCGCGUGCGUGAUGAAGGCCUUCGGGUUGUAAAGCGCUUUCGCCCACGACGAUGAUGACGGUAGUGGGAGAAGAAGCCCCGGCUAACUCCGUGCCAGCAGCCGCGGUAAUACGGAGGGGGCUAGCGUUGUUCGGAAUUACUGGGCGUAAAGGGUGCGUAGGCGGCUGUCCAAGUCGGGUGUGAAAGCCCCGGGCUCAACCCGGGAUGUGCAUCCGAGACUGGGCGGCUCGAGUUCGGGAGAGGUGAGUGGAAUUCCCAGUGUAGAGGUGAAAUUCGUAGAUAUUGGGAAGAACACCGGUGGCGAAGGCGGCUCACUGGACCGACACUGACGCUGAGGCACGAAAGCGUGGGGAGCAAUGGGAUUAGAUACCCC
Molecule: ribosomal RNA, 684 nt
Filed under: uncultured Rhodospirillaceae bacterium
Lineage: Bacteria; Pseudomonadati; Pseudomonadota; Alphaproteobacteria; Rhodospirillales; Rhodospirillaceae
Description: bacterial SSU rRNA
Rfam family: Bacterial small subunit ribosomal RNA
Source: RNAcentral